RNAcentral lists this long non-coding RNA (550 nucleotides) under Brassica rapa (field mustard). Its description in RNAcentral is "long non-coding RNA (BRAP_LNC003898)". The record is from RNAcentral. Lineage: Eukaryota; Viridiplantae; Streptophyta; Magnoliopsida; Brassicales; Brassicaceae.
CAAAAGUCAAGCUUUUCUUAUGGAAAGUUUUCCAAAAUGCCAUUCCGGUUGGAGAAUUGCUUGCAAUCAGAAACAUCAAUGUUGAUACCUGUUGCAAGAGAUGCGGUACAUUAGAAUCUAUAAAUCAUCUCUUUUUUCACUGCCCUUAUGCUAGGAAUGUCUGGAGAGCAGUCCCAGUGUCUCCGGGGGUGGAACUGAGUGGAUCAAUAGAUUUACGUGAUGUUUGGACGAACUUAGUUGAAAGAACUUGCCUACCGCCUACAGGGCUAGCAGCUGGUCAUCUGGCGCCAUGGAUUUUAUGGCAACUCUGGAUAUCCAGGAACAGCCUAUGUUUUAAGGAUAAGGAAAUCUCAGUGGAGGAAACGGUUACAAAAGCCCUGAAGAUGGCAAAGGAAUGGAAUGAUGCUCAAGAAAAGCAAAUAAAACCUAAACAACGUGUAAUAGCUCGACAGCCUCCUCCACCAGACUGUGAUCUUGUGAGAUCAGAUGCUGCAUGGCGUGCUACAACCCAGAUGGCGGGGCUAGGAUGGACUAUUUCAAAGCAAACGGC